AUUGAACGCUGGCGGAAUGCUUUACACAUGCAAGUCGAGCGGCAGCGCGGGGCAACCUGGCGGCGAGCGGCGAACGGGUGAGUAAUGCAUCGGAACGUACCCAGUCGUGGGGGAUAACUGUCCGAAAGGACAGCUAAUACCGCAUACGUCCUGAGGGAGAAAGCGGGGGACCGCAAGACCUCGCGCGAUUGGAGCGGCCGAUGCCGGAUUAGCUAGUUGGUAGGGUAAAGGCCUACCAAGGCGACGAUCCGUAGCUGGUCUGAGAGGACGACCAGCCACACUGGAACUGAGACACGGUCCAGACUCCUACGGGAGGCAGCAGUGGGGAAUUUUGGACAAUGGGGGCAACCCUGAUCCAGCCAUUCCGCGUGAGUGAAGAAGGCCUUCGGUCGUAAGACUCUGUGGGAGGAGAAGAAUAAAGACCUGUGAAGAGCAGGCCGUUGACGGUAGUCUCCUUACGUCAAGCACCGGCUAACUCCGUGCCAGCAGCCGCGGUAAA
This 499-nucleotide ribosomal RNA is filed under the name uncultured bacterium. RNAcentral's name for it is "bacterial SSU rRNA". It matches the Rfam family "Bacterial small subunit ribosomal RNA", at positions 29 to 524 of the family's 1533-position model. The record is from RNAcentral.